This 396-nucleotide long non-coding RNA is filed under the name Chelydra serpentina (North American snapping turtle). Its description in RNAcentral is "lncRNA (ENSCSRG00000007987.1)". The record is from RNAcentral. Lineage: Eukaryota; Metazoa; Chordata; Testudines; Chelydridae.
AGAUAUUGAUGAGUGCAGCAAUGGAGACAAUCUCUGUCAGCGAAACGCAGACUGUAUCAACAGUCCUGGGAGUUAUCGCUGUGAAUGUGCUGCAGGUUUCAAACUUUCACCUAAUGGUGCCUGUAUUGAUCGCAACGAAUGUUUGGAAAUUCCUAAUGUUUGCAGUCAUGGCAUGUGUGUGGACAAGCAAGGAGGUUACCAGUGCAUCUGUCACAAUGGUUUUAAGGCGUCCCAAGACCAAACCAUGUGCAUGGAUGUUGAUGAAUGUGAACGCCAUCCAUGUGGAAAUGGAACUUGUAAAAACACAGUUGGAUCAUAUAACUGUCUGUGUUACCCAGGAUUUGAGCUCACUCAUAAUAAUGACUGUAUGGGUAAGUACUUUAAUCCAAACUUUAA